This 451-nucleotide ribosomal RNA is filed under the name uncultured bacterium. RNAcentral's name for it is "bacterial SSU rRNA". It matches the Rfam family "Bacterial small subunit ribosomal RNA", at positions 923 to 1382 of the family's 1533-position model. The record is from RNAcentral.
GCACAAGCGGCGGAGCAUGCGGAUUAAUUCGAUGCAACGCGAAGAACCUUACCAAGGCUUGACAUACACCGGUAACGCCAGAGAUGGGUGCCCCUUUGUGGUCGGUGGACAGGUGGUGCAUGGUUGUCGUCAGCUCGUGUCGUGAGAUGUUGGGUUAAGUCCCGCAACGAGCGCAACCCUUAUCAUUAGUUGCUACGCAAGGGCACUCUAAUGAGACUGCCGGUGACAAACCGGAGGAAGGUGGGGAUGACGUCAAGUCCUCAUGGCCCUUAUGGGUAGGGCUUCACGCAUGCUACAAUGGCCGGUACAAAGGGCUGCGAUACCGCGAGGUGGAGCGAAUCCCAGAAAGCCGGUCUCAGUUCGGAUUGGGGUCUGCAACUCGACCCCAUGAAGUCGGAGUCGCUAGUAAUCGCAGAUCAGCAACGCUGCGGUGAAUACGUUCCCGGGCCUU